CACUUUGCUGUUGAUCCAGCAGUCAUCCAGAAGAAGAAGAGAUUUAUAUACAGUACACCAAUAGUUUUGUGGACGGUAUGUUCUGGAUCUCUUCAGUGAUGUCUAAAGGAGCCAGCUACAUGUGCUAAGAAUGGAUCAGCUUAGGCUGCCAUACCCCUUAUCUCCUUUAGAACCAUCACUGAUGCUACUGUUCCAAGAUAGUUUGCCAGGAAAGGAGCUGAGUGCUUAGAUGGUCAUGAAUGGUUUCCACCCACCUGCAAUGAAAGGUUGUCGUUCUUCAUAACUGCUUAAGCCUAAUGAAUAGAACCUUAUAAGUCAUACUAGAAAUACUGGGAAAUAUAUCCUUUGUUAGUCUGUUUGUGGAGUCGCAAUCUUCUAUAGAACAUUACUAGCUUUAAGGGCAAGGCUUACUAUGCAGUGUGCUAUGGGAGCAAUUGGACAGCUGCAAAGGCAUUCACUUGAUUGCACUAGAAAGGGUCACUUUAAGAGGAGUGGGUUCCCUUAAAGCAAUCCUUCUGUUUGCCAGGGAUCCAUUCCAGCCCAGCCUUCAAAAGUAAAAGCCUUGCAGCUGGACCAAAAAGUUCCAGCUUAGACGCAGACCAAGGUCAGGUUGGAAUGCACUUCUCUGUGCAUCCUGUGAUUGCCGGGAAACAAGUUACACCAGACUGCUCCACAAGUGGUCAAAAUGGCAGUCUAUCUCCCUGUGUGAUCACACCAUUGCAUUAUACAAACAGCUGCUUUUCAGAGAAAGGAAGGGUUGCCGGACGUAUCUAGCCCAGCUAAGAGUGCUGUGUGAUGCCAAGGCAGAGAAACAAAGCAGAAAUCUCGUGUACUUCUUUCUAUCCAAAACUCUGCCCAGCGCAACAUCUCUGCACCCAUCUUUGUAGCUGUGCAUGCAGCUAGUUCUGUUUUGGUAGCAUAUGAAAAUGUGGAAGUUCUAUUUUGGGAAGUACAGGGAGAACACAUUUUAUGUUAUAAGUUGCCUUAGGAGAAUGCUUUAUUCAUGGGGGGUGGGGAGGGGAAUCAGAACAUUCAGCAAAAAGAGAAGAGGAAGAAUAAGCUGCAUCUUAUACAACACAGUGUGUGAUGACUCUUUGAUAUUCUUUUUUUGGUGAAGCUUUAGAGGGAAGAUCACAGUAGCCUGAUGCAACUAGGCAAAAACAAUUCUAACUUGGUGGGAUGGGGGAUGGGAUGAGAUGAGGCAAUGGGCUAUGUUUUGUCACAUUUCCUUUGGCAUGACAUAGCAUCAGCUGCCUCUUGCGUGUUCCCUGUCUGAUGAUAUUCAAAAUAGAGAAUCAUAAUAGCCAAAUGCAACUACUAUCAUUCCUAUUUUGAGAUGAGAUAGGGCACCGGAUGAUAUCUGUCCAUACAAAAUUAUGCCACACUUUCAUGCCUUCAGAAAUGUGGCUACAAUGUGGAGAACACUGUGGGUCACGUGCAGCUGGCUGCCAUGACACUCAUAGUGAUUGCAUGCAGUGACACAGGGCACAGGAGCCAUCCAAAUCCUUAUGGAAAUGGACAGUAUGGACACCAAAUGAUUGAUGGACAGAUAGACAGACUAAUGUGAUCUAUGGUAGCCUUAAAUUUUCAUAGGCUUUUGCCAAUGUUGGCUCACAAACCCAGUAGUUGCCUGUAUGACUUACUGUUUGUCCUUAAAUGUCACACAAUGCUUUCUCUCUUACAGAGCAAUGUCAAAGUCAGUUAUGCGCUGAGGGAGGAAAUCAGGGUGAACAGUUCUCCUUAAUCAACAUAAUGGUGUCAGUCUGCGAGGUACAUUGAGAAAUCCGCAUCUAUGUCCUUAUUCAGGGAGAAGUUAAAGAGCUACUUUUAUGUGCUUGGCUAGUCCUCAAAAAUAUAAAAAUGUAAGAAGACGCAUGUUGAACCAGGUCAAAGGCCUGUCUCGUCUAACAUUCUGUUACACAACUGCCUAUAGAAACCCCGGAAGCAGGAUAUGAACACAAUCACAACCUUUUUUGAGCCAUGACCCCCUUUAUAACAGCCAAGUAACUUGUGACCCCCACACUGAUAUUGGUACAUACUUAAUCUGUAUAGUCACUAUUAACUGCCUCAGCUGCCAUGGAUUUGGCAAUUCUUUUUAAAAGCCAUGCAUGUUACUGGCCACCACUGAACUUGAUCCUCUGAUGUAGACAUCUCUCUCUCUCUUUCCUGGGUCUAAACCUAUUGUCUUGUUUUUAAAACCACUUUUGUCGAUAAUUCCAAGAAGCUAGCUGGAGGGACAGCAAGAGAAAAAAAGCACUUAUAAGAAGGAUAGCUUGUUUUCUUUAUUAUAAGAUGAAGCACUAAAAGAAUGCUAACGGGAUGAGUGCCUCUGUUUGGUGUGCCUUCCAUGCCUUAUGCCAUACACUGUAAACAGUAAAUUUUGGGGUAGCUAGAAGUAAUUUUUUAAUGUGUGUUGAAAAGUUGUUUUCUCUGAUCAGUUCUAGUACUCAAAACAAAUUUGUAGGCACAUAUAUUUUUUUAAAAACGUUGAAGCUCUGUUCUGGGCACUCAGACUGUAGGUCAAUCCAGUGAUCCCCUAUAAGUAACAUAAAUAGAAGAGUAGUUAGAAACCUGGAAGCAAAACCAGAUAGGAAGGAAAAUCCCACCCUUGAACAGAUAUUUCAAGUUAAUUUCACUCCACAUUCAUGAAAAGAACAUAAAUAUAAAUGGAUGCACAUUUUUAAAGAGUACUGUAUCUUCUUUCCCGCUUGGAACUGCCUGAUGCAUGUCCCAUGAAGUGCCUAAUGAUUAUGCUGUCAGUGUUUGCUUUCUGUGAUGUUGGUAUUUGUCACAAUAUGCCCCCCCCCCCCGAUUAUGGUUCCGGACUUGGGGAAGGGGAGGGAACUAAGGCUGUGUUUGAAUUUGGUGUACUCAAAUCGGCGUGCUGCAUUAGAGUUGCAGGAUCUGAUCCCCUGCUGGUUUUCUAAGGCUCCUGUUGGAGUGGGGAAUAGAUAACCACACCCCUAUGGCUAGAAGAUUAAGGUUUUUGCUUUUGUGGAAAUCCAACAUGGAAGCAGGAACCUUUCCUCUUGAGUCUCAGUGCUGAUGGUAGAAAAAAGAUGAAAACAGUGGGAGUUGGGUGAGGGACCUCCUCUGAACAUGUUUGCAAUAUAUGAUUGAAGUGUGUUAGUUUCUUAUUUGUUCUGGCUGUUGGAUUUGCUUUCCCCAGAAAUUAUCCAUCAUUAUUCCAUAAAAGUCCCAAAUAAAGCUGUAUCCUGCUUAACA
RNAcentral lists this long non-coding RNA (3225 nucleotides) under Pogona vitticeps (central bearded dragon). RNAcentral's name for it is "lncRNA (ENSPVIG00000012655.1)". The record is from RNAcentral. Lineage: Eukaryota; Metazoa; Chordata; Lepidosauria; Squamata; Agamidae.